AAAAACUCUACUACACGUAGCACUUUCACUUUCAUUUGCUAGGAGAAGUCUACUGGCACUGGCCUAACGCAGGGGGGAGAAGAAGGUGAUGAGGAGUAAGCGAAAAGCCCAAAUAUGUUUUGGAUGUAUAGGUGUAAUUCUUCUGGUGAAUCCAUGAAUAGCUGGCGAAAGAGAGGCAUGAAUCAGACUCCAAAGAUCCAAGAAUACAGUUAUUUCCAUUCUUCUUCGAGG
Long non-coding RNA from Sarcophilus harrisii (Tasmanian devil), 231 nucleotides. RefSeq lists it as uncharacterized. The transcript is spliced from 2 exons. Lineage: Eukaryota; Metazoa; Chordata; Mammalia; Dasyuromorphia; Dasyuridae. The record is from RefSeq and is a predicted model, not a curated record.